This 497-nucleotide ribosomal RNA is filed under the name uncultured bacterium. RNAcentral describes it as "partial 16S ribosomal RNA". It matches the Rfam family "Bacterial small subunit ribosomal RNA", at positions 28 to 507 of the family's 1533-position model. The record is from RNAcentral.
GAUGAACGCUGGCGGCGUGCCUAAUACAUGCAAGUCGAGCGAACAGACGAGGAGCUUGCUCCUCUGACGUUAGCGGCGGACGGGUGAGUAACACGUGGAUAACCUACCUAUAAGACUGGGAUAACUUCGGGAAACCGGAGCUAAUACCGGAUAAUAUAUUGAACCGCAUGGUUCAAUAGUGAAGGACGGUUUUGCUGUCACUUAUAGAUGGAUCCGCGCCGCAUUAGCUAGUUGGUAAGGUAACGGCUUACCAAGGCGACGAUGCGUAGCCGACCUGAGAGGGUGAUCGGCCACACUGGAACUGAGACACGGUCCAGACUCCUACGGGAGGCAGCAGUAGGGAAUCUUCCGCAAUGGGCGAAAGCCUGACGGAGCAACGCCGCGUGAGUGAUGAAGGUCUUCGGAUCGUAAAACUCUGUUAUUAGGAAAGAACAAAUGUGUAAGUAACUAUGCACGUCUUGACGGUACCUAAUCAGAAAGCCACGGCUAACUACGUG